CCUACGGGGGGCAGCAGUGAGGAAUAUUGGUCAAUGGGCGAGAGCCUGAACCAGCCAAGCCGCGUGAGGGAAGAAGGUACAGCGUAUCGUAAACCUCUUUUGUCAGGGAACAAAGGCGGGGACUAGUCCCCGGAUGAGGGUACCUGAAGAAAAAGCAUCGGCUAACUCCGUGCCAGCAGCCGCGGUAAUACGGAGGAUGCGAGCGUUAUCCGGAUUUAUUGGGUUAAAAGGGUGCGCAGGGGGCCUGUUAAGUCAGCGGGAAAAGCCCGGGGCUCAACCCCGGCGAGCCGUUGAAACUGGCGGGCUGGAGUUGGAGAGAAGUACGCGGAAUGCGCGGUGUAGCGGUGAAAUGCUUAGAUAUCGCGCAGAACCCCGAUUGCGAAGGCAGCGUACCGGCUCCACACUGACGCUGAGGCACGAAAGCGUGGGUAUCGAACAGGAUUAGAUACCCUUGUAGUC
This 459-nucleotide ribosomal RNA is filed under the name uncultured bacterium. RNAcentral describes it as "partial 16S ribosomal RNA". It matches the Rfam family "Bacterial small subunit ribosomal RNA", at positions 338 to 795 of the family's 1533-position model. The record is from RNAcentral.